GGUAAUAAUCUUGACCAGACUAUUCAACAGAUAAUGGAUAUGGGAGGUGGGAACUGGGAUAAAGAAACAGUUACUCGAGCACUUCGAGCAGCUUAUAACAAUCCAGAACGAGCAGUGGAUUAUUUGUACUCUGGUAUUCCAGAAACAGCGGAAGUUGCUGUCCCAGUGACUGAUUUCCCUGCAGGUCAGGAAACUGAAAUAGAUGCAGCAGGAGCUGCACCUGUAUCUGGAGCGCCCAAUACAUCUCCCUUGAAUAUGUUUCCUCAGGAGACACUUUCUGCUGCUGCUGGCGGGGG
Molecule: unclassified non-coding RNA, 296 nt
Filed under: Hevea brasiliensis (rubber tree)
Lineage: Eukaryota; Viridiplantae; Streptophyta; Magnoliopsida; Malpighiales; Euphorbiaceae
Source: RNAcentral